AUUGAACGCUGGCGGCAGGCCUAACACAUGCAAGUCGAGCGGAUGAAGGGAGCUUGCUCCUGGAUUCAGCGGCGGACGGGUGAGUAAUGCCUAGGAAUCUGCCUGGUAGUGGGGGAUAACGUCCGGAAACGGGCGCUAAUACCGCAUACGUCCUAAGGGAGAAAGUGGGGGAUCUUCGGACCUCACGCUAUCAGAUGAGCCUAGGUCGGAUUAGCUAGUUGGUGUGGUAAAGGCCUACCAAGGCGACGAUCCGUAACUGGUCUGAGAGGAUGAUCAGUCACACUGGAACUGAGACACGGUCCAGACUCCUACGGGAGGCAGCAGUGGGGAAUAUUGGACAAUGGGCGAAAGCCUGAUCCAGCCAUGCCGCGUGUGUGAAGAAGGUCUUCGGAUUGUAAAGCACUUUAAGUUGGGAGGAAGGGCAGUAAGUUAAUACCUUGCUGUUUUGACGUUACCAACAGAAUAAGCACCGGCUAACUUCGUG
Molecule: ribosomal RNA, 484 nt
Filed under: uncultured bacterium
Lineage: Bacteria
Description: partial 16S ribosomal RNA
Rfam family: Bacterial small subunit ribosomal RNA
Source: RNAcentral